This 771-nucleotide ribosomal RNA is filed under the name uncultured Streptococcus sp. Its description in RNAcentral is "bacterial SSU rRNA". It matches the Rfam family "Bacterial small subunit ribosomal RNA", at positions 28 to 774 of the family's 1533-position model. The record is from RNAcentral. Lineage: Bacteria; Bacillati; Bacillota; Bacilli; Lactobacillales; Streptococcaceae.
GACGAACGCUGGCGGCGUGCCUAAUACAUGCAAGUGGAACGCAUGAUUGAUACCGGAGCUUGCUCCACCAUUAAUCAUGAGUCGCGAACGGGUGAGUAACGCGUAGGUAACCUACCUCAUAGCGGGGGAUAACUAUUGGAAACGAUAGCUAAUACCGCAUAACAGUAUUUAUCGCAUGGUAAAUGCUUGAAAGGAGCAACUGCUUCACUAUGAGAUGGACCUGCGUUGUAUUAGCUAGUUGGUGGGGUAACGGCUCACCAAGGCAUCGAUACAUAGCCGACCUGAGAGGGUGAUCGGCCACACUGGGACUGAGACACGGCCCAGACUCCUACGGGAGGCAGCAGUAGGGAAUCUUCGGCAAUGGGGGGAACCCUGACCGAGCAACGCCGCGUGAGUGAAGAAGGUUUUCGGAUCGUAAAGCUCUGUUGUAAGAGAAGAACGUGUGUGAGAGUGGAAAGUUCACACAGUGACGGUAACUUACCAGAAAGGGACGGCUAACUACGUGCCAGCAGCCGCGGUAAUACGUAGGUCCCGAGCGUUGUCCGGAUUUAUUGGGCGUAAAGCGAGCGCAGGCGGUUUGAUAAGUCUGAAGUAAAAGGCUGUGGCUUAACCAUAGUAUGCUUUGGAAACUGUCAAACUUGAGUGCAGAAGGGGAGAGUGGAAUUCCAUGUGUAGCGGUGAAAUGCGUAGAUAUAUGGAGGAACACCGGUGGCGAAAGCGGCUCUCUGGUCUGUAACUGACGCUGAGGCUCGAAAGCGUGGGGAGCAAACA